Long non-coding RNA from Ostrea edulis (European flat oyster), 530 nucleotides. RefSeq lists it as uncharacterized. The transcript is spliced from 2 exons. The record is from RefSeq and is a predicted model, not a curated record. NCBI's taxonomy places the organism in Eukaryota, Metazoa, Mollusca, Bivalvia, Ostreida, Ostreidae.
GUUCAAAGAAAGAUAACUCUAGUAUUUGGUUUUUGCCACGUGUGAGCAGCACAGAAGGUAAACAUGUCGCAAGGAGACGAGAAAUAUAUGGACGAGUUCGACAAAUACAACAUCGAACAGGACAAAUAUGUUCAUUCUGGUAAAAGUGGGAAGGGGCGCAGCAAGACGGAGACGGAGCAAAAUAAAAACCAGGGAGAACACACGCGCAAAAUCGCCGAACAGCUCAUGAACAGCGCGCAUAAAUCGGAAAAGGAGCCCGAGCAUAAUAAAAAAUAACCUGCCAUAUGCAACGAUUAUAACGGAUGCGGAGUGGAUUGAUGUCAAUGCGGUUCACUAUAAUGAAGAAUUGUUGAGUUAAAAUACAUGGAAUGCAAUGUAAAUUAUUAACUGUGAUUCAAACUGAAACAACAAAACAUUAAAUUUUGGAUUGGGAUGUUGCUUGCAGUCUCAGAUAUUUGUUUGUAAUUCAUUUAAUUAUAUUUUUUUGUAUUAUUCAUCGUUGUUUCUUUGUAUAAACGUUGUUUCCAUAA